UAAACGAUGUCUACUUGAAGGUUGUGGCCUUGAGCCGUGGCUUUCGGAGCUAACGCGUUAAGUAGACCGCCUGGGGAGUACGGUCGCAAGAUUAAAACUCAAAUGAAUUGACGGGGGCCCGCACAAGCGGUGGAGCAUGUGGUUUAAUUCGAUGCAACGCGAAGAACCUUACCUACUCUUGACAUCCAGAGAAUUCGCUAGAGAUAGCUUAGUGCCUUCGGGAGCUCUGAGACAGGUGCUGCAUGGCUGUCGUCAGCUCGUGUUGUGAAAUGUUGGGUUAAGUCCCGCAACGAGCGCAACCCUUAUCCUUGUUUGCCAGCACGUAAUGGUGGGAACUCCAGGGAGACUGCCGGUGAUAAACCGGAGGAAGGUGGGGACGACGUUGAGUCAUCAUGGCCCUUACGAGUAGGGCUACACACGUGCUACAAUGGCGUAUACAGAGGGCUGCCAACCAGCGAUGGUGAGCGAAUCCCACAAAGUACGUCGUAGUCCGGAUCGGAGUCUGCAACUCGACUCCGUGAAGUCGGAAUCGCUAGUAAUCGUGAAUCAGAAUGUCACGGUGAAUACGUUCCCGGGCCUUGUACACACCGCCCGUCACACCAUGGGAGUGGGCUG
This 615-nucleotide ribosomal RNA is filed under the name uncultured bacterium. RNAcentral describes it as "bacterial SSU rRNA". It matches the Rfam family "Bacterial small subunit ribosomal RNA", at positions 803 to 1417 of the family's 1533-position model. The record is from RNAcentral.